This 507-nucleotide ribosomal RNA is filed under the name uncultured Glomus. RNAcentral describes it as "SSU rRNA". It matches the Rfam family "Eukaryotic small subunit ribosomal RNA", at positions 569 to 1078 of the family's 1831-position model. The record is from RNAcentral. Lineage: Eukaryota; Fungi; Glomeromycota; Glomeromycetes; Glomerales; Glomeraceae.
AGCAGCCGCGGUAAUUCCAGCUCCAAUAGCGUAUAUUAAAGUUGUUGCAGUUAAAAAGCUCGUAGUUGAAUUUCGGGAUCAAUAUAUCGGUCGUGCCUUGGUACGUACUGGUAUCAUUGGUUUCUCCUUUCUGACGAACCAUGAUGUCAUUAAUUUGGUGUUAUGGGAAGUUAGGACUGUUACUUUGAAAAAAUUAGAGUGUUUAAAGCAGGCUUUGGCUUGAAUACAUUAGCAUGGAAUAAUGAAAUAGGACGUUCGAACCUAUUUUGUUGGUUUCUAGGAUCAACGUAAUGAUUAAUAGGGAUAGUUGGGGGCAUUAGUAUUCAAUUGUCAGAGGUGAAAUUCUUGGAUUUAUUGAAGACUAACUACUGCGAAAGCAUUUGCCAAGGAUGUUUUCAUUAAUCAAGAACGAAAGUUAGGGGAUCGAAGACGAUCAGAUACCGUCGUAGUCUUAACCAUAAACUAUGCCGACUAGGGAUCGGAUGAUGUUAAUUUUUUAAUGACUCA